AGGUUACUGCUAUCGGUGUUCGCCUAAGCCAUGCGAGUCAUAUGUUCUUCGUGAACAUGGCGUACUGCUCAGUAACACGUGGAUAACCUGCCCUUGGGUCCGGCAUAACCCCGGGAAACUGGGGAUAAUUCCGGAUAACGCACAUAUGCUGGAAUGCUUUAUGCGUCAAAUGGAUUCGUCCGCCCAAGGAUGGGUCUGCGGCCUAUCAGGUAGUAGUGGGUGUAAUGUACCUACUAGCCUACGACGGGUACGGGUUGUGAGAGCAAGAGCCCGGAGAUGGAUUCUGAGACAUGAAUCCAGGCCCUACGGGGCGCAGCAGGCGCGAAAACUUUACAAUGCGGGAAACCGUGAUAAGGGGACAUCGAGUGCCAGCAUCAUAUGCUGGCUGUCCGGGUGUGUAAAAUACACCUGUUAGCAAGGGCCGGGCAAGACCGGUGCCAGCCGCCGCGGUAACACCGGCGGCCCGAGUGGUGAUCGUGAUUAUUGGGUCUAAAGGGUCCGUAGCCGGUUUGGUCAGUCCUCCGGGAAAUCUGACGGCUUAACCGUUAGGCUUUCGGGGGAUACUGCCAGACUUGGAACCGGGAGAGGUAAGAGGUACUACAGGGGUAGGGGUGAAAUCUUGUAAUCCCUGUGGGACCACCUGUGGCGAAGGCGUCUUACCAGAACGGGUUCGACGGUGAGGGACGAAAGCUGGGGGCACGAACCGGAUUAGAUACCCGGGUAGUCCCAGCCGUAAACGAUGCUCGCUAGGUGUCAGGCAUGGCGCGACCGUGUCUGGUGCCGCAGGGAAGCCGUGAAGCGAGCCACCUGGGAAGUACGGCCGCAAGGCUGAAACUUAA
This 839-nucleotide ribosomal RNA is filed under the name uncultured soil archaeon. RNAcentral's name for it is "bacterial SSU rRNA". It matches the Rfam family "Archaeal small subunit ribosomal RNA", at positions 21 to 859 of the family's 1478-position model. The record is from RNAcentral.